Non-coding RNA from Salmo salar (Atlantic salmon), 54 nucleotides. The record is from Rfam. Lineage: Eukaryota; Metazoa; Chordata; Actinopteri; Salmoniformes; Salmonidae.
ACCGAGCACUACUGUAAGUCACUCUGGAUAAGAGUGUCUGCUAAAUGACUAAAA